This 201-nucleotide ribosomal RNA is filed under the name bacterium enrichment culture clone dark 1. Its description in RNAcentral is "partial 16S ribosomal RNA". It matches the Rfam family "Bacterial small subunit ribosomal RNA", at positions 338 to 531 of the family's 1533-position model. The record is from RNAcentral.
CCUAGGGGAGGCAGCAGUAGGGAAUCUUCCGCAAUGGACGAAAGUCUGACGGAGCAACGCCGCGUGAGUGAUGAAGGCUUUCGGGUCGUAAAACUCUGUUGUUAGGGAAGAACAAGUACAAGAGUAACUGCUUGUACCUUGACGGUACCUAACCAGAAAGCCACGGCUAACUACGUGCCAGCAGCCGCGGUAAUAGUAUUG